AUUGAACGCUGGCGGCAGGCCUAACACAUGCAAGUCGAGCGGAUGAAGGGAGCUUGCUCCUGGAUUCAGCGGCGGACGGGUGAGUAAUGCCUAGGAAUCUGCCUGGUAGUGGGGGAUAACGUCCGGAAACGGGCGCUAAUACCGCAUACGUCCUGAGGGAGAAAGUGGGGGAUCUUCGGACCUCACGCUAUCAGAUGAGCCUAGGUCGGAUUAGCUAGUUGGUGGGGUAAGGGCCUACCAAGGCGACGAUCCGUAACUGGUCUGAGAGGAUGAUCAGUCACACUGGAACUGAGACACGGUCCAGACUCCUACGGGAGGCAACAGUGGGGAAUAUUGGACAAUGGGCGAAAGCCUGAUCCAGCCAUGCCGCGUGUGUGAAGAAGGUCUUCGGAUUGUAAAGCACUUUAAGUUGGGAGGAAGGGCAGUAAGUUAAUACCUUGCUGUUUUGACGUUACCAACAGAAUAAGCACCGGCUAACUUCGUG
Molecule: ribosomal RNA, 484 nt
Filed under: uncultured bacterium
Lineage: Bacteria
Description: partial 16S ribosomal RNA
Rfam family: Bacterial small subunit ribosomal RNA
Source: RNAcentral